This 466-nucleotide ribosomal RNA is filed under the name uncultured bacterium. RNAcentral describes it as "partial 16S ribosomal RNA". It matches the Rfam family "Bacterial small subunit ribosomal RNA", at positions 28 to 507 of the family's 1533-position model. The record is from RNAcentral.
GACGAACGCUGGCGGCGUGCUUAACACAUGCAAGUCGAACGGAAAGGCCCUGCUUGCAGGGUACUCGAGUGGCGAACGGGUGAGUAACACGUGGGUGAUCUGCCCUGCACUUCGGGAUAAGCCUGGGAAACUGGGUCUAAUACCGGAUAGGAGCCAUUUUUAGUGUGAUGGUUGGAAAGUUUUUUUCGGUGUAGGAUGAGCUCGCGGCCUAUCAGCUUGUUGGUGGGGUAAUGGCCUACCAAGGCGGCGACGGGUAGCCGGCCUGAGAGGGUGGACGGCCACAAUGGGGCUGAGAUACGGCCCAGACUCCUACGGGGAGCAGCAGUGGGGAAUAUUGCAAAAUGGGCGGAAGCCUGAUGCAGCGACGGCGCGUGGGGGAUGACGGGCCUCGGGUUGUAAACCCCUUUCGCCAGGGACGAAGCUUUUUGGGAAGGUACCUUGAUAAGAAGCACCGGCUAACUACGUG